GAUGAACGCUGGCGGCGUGCCUAAUACAUGCAAGUCGAGCGAACGGACGAGAAGCUUGCUUCUCUGAUGUUAGCGGCGGACGGGUGAGUAACACGUGGAUAACCUACCUAUAAGACUGGGAUAACUUCGGGAAACCGGAGCUAAUACCGGAUAAUAUUUUGAACCGCAUGGUUCAAAAGUGAAAGACGGUCUUGCUGUCACUUAUAGAUGGAUCCGCGCUGCAUUAGCUUGUUGGUAAGGUAACGGCUUACCAAGGCAACGAUGCAUAGCCGACCUGAGAGGGUGAUCGGCCACACUGGAACUGAGACACGGUCCAGACUCCUACGGGAGGCAGCAGUAGGGAAUCUUCCGCAAUGGGCGAAAGCCUGACGGAGCAACGCCGCGUGAGUGAUGAAGGUCUUCGGAUCGUAAAACUCUGUUAUUAGGGAAGAACAUAUGUGUAAGUAACUGUGCACAUCUUGACGGUACCUAAUCAGAAAGCCACGGCUAACUACGUGCCAGCAGCCGCGGUAAUACGUAGGUGGCAAGCGUUAUCCGGAAUUAUUGGGCGUAAAGCGCGCGUAGGCGGUUUUUUAGUCUGAUGUGAAAGCCCACGGCUCAACCGUGGAGGGUCAUUGGAAACUGGAAAACUUGAGUGCAGAAGAGGAAAGUGGAAUUCCAUGUGUAGCGGUGAAAUGCGCAGAGAUAUGGAGGAACACCAGUGGCGAAGGCGACUUUCUGGUCUGUAACUGACGCUGAUGUGCGAAAGCGUGGGGAUCAAACAGGAUUAGAUACCCUGGUAGUCCACGCCGUAAACGAUGAGUGCUAAGUGUUAGGGGGUUUCCGCCCCUUAGUGCUGCAGCUAACGCAUUAAGCACUCCGCCUGGGGAGUACGACCGCAAGGUUGAAACUCAAAGGAAUUGACGGGGACCCGCACAAGCGGUGGAGCAUGUGGUUUAAUUCGAAGCAACGCGAAGAACCUUACCAAAUCUUGACAUCCUUUGACAACUCUAGAGAUAGAGCUUUCCCCUUCGGGGGACAAAGUGACAGGUGGUGCAUGGUUGUCGUCAGCUCGUGUCGUGAGAUGUUGGGUUAAGUCCCGCAACGAGCGCAACCCUUAAGCUUAGUUGCCAUCAUUAAGUUGGGCACUCUAAGUUGACUGCCGGUGACAAACCGGAGGAAGGUGGGGAUGACGUCAAAUCAUCAUGCCCCUUAUGAUUUGGGCUACACACGUGCUACAAUGGACAAUACAAAGGGCAGCGAAACCGUGAGGUCAAGCAAAUCCCAUAAAGUUGUUCUCAGUUCGGAUUGUAGUCUGCAACUCGACUACAUGAAGCUGGAAUCGCUAGUAAUCGUAGAUCAGCAUGCUACGGUGAAUACGUUCCCGGGUCU
Molecule: ribosomal RNA, 1371 nt
Filed under: uncultured bacterium
Lineage: Bacteria
Description: bacterial SSU rRNA
Rfam family: Bacterial small subunit ribosomal RNA
Source: RNAcentral